This 465-nucleotide ribosomal RNA is filed under the name uncultured bacterium. Its description in RNAcentral is "partial 16S ribosomal RNA". It matches the Rfam family "Bacterial small subunit ribosomal RNA", at positions 28 to 507 of the family's 1533-position model. The record is from RNAcentral.
GACGAACGCUGGCGGCGUGCUUAACACAUGCAAGUCGAACGGAAAGGCCCUGCUUGCAGGGUACUCGAGUGGCGAACGGGUGAGUAACACGUGGGUGAUCUGCCCUGCACUUCGGGAUAAGCCUGGGAAACUGGGUCUAAUACCGGAUAGGAGCCAUUUUUAGUGUGAUGGUUGGAAAGUUUUUUCGGUGUAGGAUGAGCUCGCGGCCUAUCAGCUUGUUGGUGGGGUAAUGGCCUACCAAGGCGGCGACGGGUAGCCGGCCUGAGAGGGUGGACGGCCACAUUGGGACUGAGGUACGGCCCAGACGCCUACGGGAGGCAGCAGUGGGGAAUAUUGCACAAUGGGCGCAAGCCUGAUGCAGCGGCGCCGCGUGGGGGAUGACGGCCUUCGGGUUGUAAACUCCUUUCGCUAGGGACGAAGCUUUUUGUGACGGUACCUAGAUAAGAAGCACCGGCUAACUACGUG